Molecule: long non-coding RNA, 135 nt
Organism: Coregonus clupeaformis (lake whitefish)
Lineage: Eukaryota; Metazoa; Chordata; Actinopteri; Salmoniformes; Salmonidae
Exons: 3
Source: RefSeq, a predicted model, not a curated record
GGAAAAAUGGCUGUGAAUUUUCGUCUGUCUUUGAGAAUUACUUGGAUUUGUUGCCUGCUGAUUGUAGGGAUAACCUGUUAUCCUCCACCUAAAGGUGACUAUAGAUAUCUUCCCCAAAUUGCAACAAAGGGAACC